UUAGACAGGGUAUUGCACACCUUUGGCCUA
RNAcentral lists this non-coding RNA (30 nucleotides) under Rattus norvegicus (Norway rat). Lineage: Eukaryota; Metazoa; Chordata; Mammalia; Rodentia; Muridae. The record is from RNAcentral.